GGCGAGGUAGCUCAGUCGGUUAGAGCACAGGCUUCAUAAGCCUGGGGUCGCGGGUUCGAGUCCCGCCCUCGCUA
This 74-nucleotide transfer RNA is filed under the name Planctomycetaceae bacterium. Its description in RNAcentral is "tRNA-Met". It matches the Rfam family "tRNA". Rfam says of the family: Transfer RNA (tRNA) molecules are approximately 80 nucleotides in length. Their secondary structure includes four short double-helical elements and three loops (D, anti-codon, and T loops). The record is from RNAcentral. Lineage: Bacteria; Pseudomonadati; Planctomycetota; Planctomycetia; Planctomycetales; Planctomycetaceae.